RNAcentral lists this ribosomal RNA (1806 nucleotides) under Rhipicephalus microplus (southern cattle tick). RNAcentral describes it as "SSU rRNA". It matches the Rfam family "Eukaryotic small subunit ribosomal RNA". The record is from RNAcentral. Lineage: Eukaryota; Metazoa; Arthropoda; Arachnida; Ixodida; Ixodidae.
CCUGGUUGAUCCUGCCAGUAAUCAUAUGCUUGUCUCAAAGAUUAAGCCAUGCAUGUCUAAGUACAUGCCGAAAUAAGGCGAAACCGCGAAUGGCUCAUUAAAUCAGUUAUGGUUCCUUAGAUCGUUUCUUCCUACUUGGAUAACUGUGGCAAUUAUAGAGCUAAUACAUGCAGUGAGCCUGGAGCCCUUUGGGUAACGGGUGCUUUUCUUAUUAGACCAAGAUCGAUCGGGUUUCGGCCCGCGUACUUGUGUGGUGACUCUGGAUAACUUUGUGCUGAUCGCAUGGCCACGAGCCGGCGACGUUUCUUUCAAGUGUCUGCCUUAUCAACUUUCGAUGGUAGGUUACUUGCUUACCAUGGUUGUUACGGGUAACGGAGAAUCAGGGUUCGAUUCCGGAGAGGGAGCCUGAGAAACGGCUACCACAUCCAAGGAAGGCAGCAGGCGCGGAAAUUACCCACUCCCGGCACGGUAGUGACGAAAAAUAACAAUACGGGACUCUUUUGAGGCCCCGUAAUUGAAAUGAGUACACGCUAAAUCCUUUAACGAGGAUCAAUUGGAGGGCAAGUCUGGUGCCAGCAGCCGCGGUAAUUCCAGCUCCAAUAGCGUAUACUAAAGGUGCUGCGGUUAAAAAGCUCGUAGUUGGAUCUCAGUUCCAGACGAGUAGUGCAUCUACCCGAUGCGACGGCUCGGACUGAACAUCAUGCCGGUUCUUUCUUGGUGCACUUCAUUGUGUGCCUCGAGAUGGCCGGUGCUUUUACUUUGAAAAAAUUAGAGUGCUCAACGCAGGCGAGUCGCCUGAAUAAACUUGCAUGGAAUAAUAGAACAAGACCUCGUUUCUGUUCUGUUGGUUUUUGGAAUACGAGGUAAUGAUUAAGAGGGACGGACGGGGGCAUUCGUAUUGCGGCGCUAGAGGUGAAAUUCUUGGACCGUCGCAAGACGAACUACUGCGAAAGCAUUUGCCAAGAAUGUUUUCAUUGAUCAAGAACGAAAGUCAGAGGUUCGAAGGCGAUCAGAUACCGCCCUAGUUCUGACCAUAAACGAUGCCAACCAGCGAUCCGCCUGAGUUACUCAAAUGACUCGGCGGGCAGCUUCCGGGAAACCAAAGUAUUUGGGUUCCGGGGGAAGUAUGGUUGCAAAGCUGAAACUUAAAGGAAUUGACGGAAGGGCACCACCAGGAGUGGAGCCUGCGGCUUAAUUUGACUCAACACGGGAAAACUUACCCGGCCCGGACACUGGGAGGAUUGACAGAUUGAGAGCUCUUUCUUGAUUCGGUGGAUGGUGGUGCAUGGCCGUUCUUAGUUGGUGGAGCGAUUUGUCUGGUUAAUUCCGAUAACGAACGAGACUCUAGCCUAUUAAAUAGGUGCGGGGUUCCCAGCACCUUACAACCUUCUUAGAGGGACAAGCGGCUCCUAGCCGCACGAAACAGAGCAAUAACAGGUCUGUGAUGCCCUUAGAUGUCCGGGGCCGCACGCGCGCUACACUGAAGGAAGCAGCGUGUCUUUAUCCCUGUCUGAAAAGACUGGGUAACCCGUGGAACUUCUUUCGUGAUUGGGAUAGGGGCUUGCAAUUGUUCCCCUUGAACGAGGAAUUCCCAGUAAGCGCGAGUCAUAAGCUCGCGUUGAUUACGUCCCUGCCCUUUGUACACACCGCCCGUCGCUACUACCGAUUGAAUGAUUUAGUGAGGUCUUCGGACCGAUGUCCGGCGCGGCCUUUCGGUUGCGCCGGUCUGUUGGAAAGAUGACCAAACUUGAUCAUUUAGAGGAAGUAAAAGUCGUAACAAGGUUUCCGUAGGUGAACCUGCGGAAG